UACGGGGGGGGCAAGUGUUGUUCGGAAUUACUGGGCGUAAAGGGCUCGUAGGUGGCCAACUAAGUCAGACGUGAAAUCCCUCAGCUUAACUGGGGAACUGCGUCUGAUACUGGAUGGCUUGAGUUUGGGAGAGGGAUGCGGAAUUCCAGGUGUAGCGGUGAAAUGCGUAGAUAUCGGAAGGAACACCAGUGGCGAAAGCGGCUUCCUGGUCCAGCACCGACGUUCAGGCACGAAAGCGUGGGGAGCAAACAGG
This 253-nucleotide ribosomal RNA is filed under the name uncultured bacterium. Its description in RNAcentral is "partial 16S ribosomal RNA". It matches the Rfam family "Bacterial small subunit ribosomal RNA", at positions 524 to 776 of the family's 1533-position model. The record is from RNAcentral.